GUCCCUAUCCCUAACCCUCUGAUUUUAAAGGAAGGGACUAAUGCUGAGCGGUAAGUAGCCGGUGGGAAAUGCCAUAGCCCUUUCACUUUCACGAAUUACGAAUCACAACAUUCAUAAAUUCUCUACGAGUCACAACUCCAAUGUCUCAGCCUUCGCAAGAUUUGAUUGACGAUGAAACAGAAAGUUGUUGAGUGAAAUUAGGUUAAUUGUUUGAUUGAGCAAAGAGAAUAAACAGAGAGAUGCGAAACGCGGACAACAACGCUCAAGAUACGAUAACCGCUGCUGCGACUGCGAUCACAUCAGCUGAGAAUCGUGUGCCUCAAGCUUCGAUUUAGUUGCCUUUGCCUAUUUAAUAUGCUGUGAAUGAUUUGCAAGAGGAAUGGAUUUCAGUUAGAGUGACAAAGAUGGGCUCAACGGUUUCUUUGUCAAGAACUACCUAGACUUUUGCAGCUAACUUGCUAUUAUGUUAAUUUUUGUGUGUUUGGCACUUUUGUAAAGAGUAUCAUUAGUUAUUACUAUGUUGUUGCCAUUGUUCAGAUGGAUUAGAUGUUUGCUAUGUAAUAUGUUAUUAUUAUGAUGCCUUGACACUUCCCCGAAAACAUAUAAAUUGAUAAUGAAGUUCUCUUUCAACAUUUGUCCAUCUCGAGUAUUGCUGAAAGGACUACAGAGGAACCAAAUUGUGAACGUGCCAAACCACAGAUUUGCUUGAAGCAGGUAUUAUUGAGUAACCACCAAUAUUAGCCUAAACCAGUUUUGAUCUCUCAAGAAUACAAAGCCCUGUUAUUCACUUGUUGGAGAAUAUGAUUGCAUUACACCCAACCCCAUCAUUGCCAAUCAUUUUUUUUUUCCCUUGUAUGAAAAUUCUCAUGGUAAAAGGCUUGACAGUGGAACAUUAUUUCUAGCGUAAAAGUUUCUAUUAUAUUGAAUUUGAUCUUAUUUCAAAAUUUCAACAAAUUAGGCUUUCUUUUAUUUUUAAUUUGAAUAAUUCUUAAUGAAACAUUGUAUGUUUAUCUCAGUGAAUUUUGUAAAUAAACACUCUGAAUUUUGAUCCAAAAGGCCAAUGAAAAUACAAGACAUCUCAUAUUUCAAAGCUUGUGGAUUAAUGAAGAAACCAGUCUUAGAUUAUUUGACUCGAGGAAAAGAGAGGCCCUAGCUUGUAGAAUGAAGUUACUUCUUGGAGUUUCAUUUGUGUGUUUCAUGUCAUUCUCGACAUCACCUUGUUACUAUGCACUUGUUCAUGUUUCCAUAUAAUACUGAGCAAAACAAAAAAGAAAAUAUUGAUGACUUUGCCCACGGAAACAUACCAUUAUAAUAUGUUUUCAUGUGAGUUUGUCAUGUUACUUGCAGAUGUGUUCCUUUUUUAAUAUUUAUGCAAAAUGAUUUAGGAAAAGGAUCCUUGGAACCAGACUCUCACCCUCUUUUUUUUUUGCUACAAAAAGAAUUUGUUUAUUUUUUGUUUGCUCCUUUUGAACAUUUUUUUUAAAGAUGGAUAAAAAAUCACGUCCCUUCAUUUGAAAUCUGUAAGGGGGAGUUUGACACUAAUAUUAAAGAGCAAUGAACUGAGGCUUACCUGUUUUUUAACAGACUCUCAAUUGAGAUGAGAAGAGCUUUAAAUGAAGAAAUGAGCCAUAUAUGUCAAAGGUCUAUCUUCUUGUCCAUCACAAAACUUUUUGUUUGUUUAUGACUAUAUGAAAGAAAUUAAAUUCUAAAUUUUGUUUGUUUAUGACUAUAAGUAUGAAAGAAAUUAAAUUGUAUCUUCUUGUCCAGUAGAUACAAUGGUCCUCCUGAUUGUCACCUUAAAACUGUUAAAACUGAAUGGGUAAGAAAAUCUAUAUUUCUAUCAAAUUAGGCAUCUGAUGUGAUUUGGAGCUGACAAACUACCUUGCUAUCAAAUUGGGCAUGAGUUCUUAGGCAUUAUUAGCGAACAUUUGAUCUUUGUACUUAAAAUGCAUUAGUUAUUGUGUGUUUGACACUUUUGUAAAGAUUAUCAUCAGUUAUUACUAUGUUGUUGUCAUUGUUCAGAUGGGUUAGAUAUUUGCCAUAUAAUCUGGUGAUGACGAUGAUAAUAAUAUAUAUAUAUAUAUAUAUAUUUUGGGAUCAAGGUGGUGAUGAUGAUGUUCACCUAUGGCAUCCUCAGCCUUCGUAUGUUUGGGGGAAAUCAAGUGAUUACUUCCUACGUCUUAGAUCUCAUAGAGUAACCAUGUUGUAACAAUCAAAUGGCUCCUUGAUUGUUUGACAUAACAAAAGUUCUGAUUUGAGUUUUGUUGGUGAUCUUUCAGCAUUUGGUAUCAUAUGGAACUCCACUUUCAGUCCAAGCUCUCUAUCCUCAUGGAGGUCUUUAUGGUCCUUCUAACAUGACUUUGGGUGCAGCUGUCGAAAAUAUAAAUACAGAGACAAAAGGAAAGGCAAAAUGAAAUUCAAGGAACAUAGUUUUGGCAGAAAAGGGAAAAGCCAUUUCAGGCUCUGAAAAUGAUGAUGCCUCACAAAGGUGUGUUAGUGCUCCAUAAAAUAUUCAGAGAUUUUGAAACACUCUUUUUUUAAAACAACAAAUAACUAUAUAAUCUAGUCAUAAUGAUGAUGAUGAUGAUGAUAAAUUAUUGUUAUUAUUUUUUUCCAUAUUUAAUAUUAUAGUGUUAAACUUAAUAUUUAUGUAUAUUUUUGCAAGUAGUGUUGGAGUAAUUGAUUGAUCCGCGGGUGAUAUUGAGAGCUAAAUUGAGAUUUUUAUUUAUUUUUUAUUUUUAUUUUUGAGUACUUGAAGUUUGUAUAACUACUUGUAAGGAUGGUUGAUGGAUAUUUGU
Molecule: non-coding RNA, 2798 nt
Organism: Camellia sinensis
Lineage: Eukaryota; Viridiplantae; Streptophyta; Magnoliopsida; Ericales; Theaceae
Source: RefSeq, a predicted model, not a curated record